GACGAACGCUGGCGGCGUGCUUAACACAUGCAAGUCGAACGGAAAGGCCCUGCUGGUGGGGGAUGCUCGAGUGGCGAACGGGUGAGUAAUACGUGAGUAACCUGCCCUUGACUUUGGGAUAACUUCAGGAGACGCGGGCUAAUACCGUAUAGGAGCUCCUGCUGCAGGGUGGGGGUAGGAAAGUUUCGGCGGUUGGGGAUGGACUCGCGGUUUAUCAGCUUGUUGGUGGGGUAGUGGCUUACCAAGGCUUUGACGGGUAGCCGGCCUGAGAGGGUGACCGGCCACAUUGGGACUGAGAUACGGCCCAGACUCCUACGGGAGGCAGCAGUGGGGAAUAUUGCACAAUGGGCGGAAGCCUGAUGCAGCAACGCCGCUUGCGGGAUGACGGCCUUCGGGUUGUAAACCGCUUUCGCCUGUGACGAAGCGAGAGUGACGGUAAUGGGUAAAGAAGCACCGGCUAACUACGUG
RNAcentral lists this ribosomal RNA (468 nucleotides) under uncultured bacterium. RNAcentral describes it as "partial 16S ribosomal RNA". It matches the Rfam family "Bacterial small subunit ribosomal RNA", at positions 28 to 507 of the family's 1533-position model. The record is from RNAcentral.